GACGAACGCUGGCGGCGUGCUUAACACAUGCAAGUCGAGCGGUAAGGCCCUUUCGGGGUACGACGAGCGGCGAACGGGUGGAGUAACACGUGGGUGGACCUCGCCCUCCAGCUCUGGGAGUAAGCCGUCGGGAAACCGGGGUACCGUAAUAACCGGAGUAUGACUCCAUGACGCAUGUUGUGGGGUGGAAAGCCUUGUGCGGCUGAGGAUGGGCCCGCCGGCCUAUCAGCUUGUUGGUGGGGUGAUGGCCUACCAAGGCGACGACGGGUAGCCGGCCUGAGAGGGCGACCGGCCACACUGGGA
This 303-nucleotide ribosomal RNA is filed under the name uncultured bacterium. RNAcentral describes it as "bacterial SSU rRNA". It matches the Rfam family "Bacterial small subunit ribosomal RNA", at positions 28 to 318 of the family's 1533-position model. The record is from RNAcentral.